Molecule: ribosomal RNA, 194 nt
Filed under: uncultured bacterium
Lineage: Bacteria
Description: partial 16S ribosomal RNA
Rfam family: Bacterial small subunit ribosomal RNA
Source: RNAcentral
CCUACGGGAGGCAGCAGUCGAGAAUCUUUCACAAUGGGGGAAACCCUGAUGGAGCGACGCCGCGUGGAGGAUGAAGGUCUUCGGAUUGUAAACUCCUGUCAUGAAAGAACAAGCAAUGUGGGUGAACAGCCCGCAACGUUGAUAGUAUUUCAAGAGGAAGGGACGGCUAACUUCGUGCCAGCAGCCGCGGUAAU